CGCGUGGUUCUAUUUUGUUGGUUUCUAGGACCGCCGUAAUGAUUAAUAGGGACAGUCGGGGCCGUCUGUAUUCAAUUGUCAGAGGUGAAAUUCUUGGAUCUAUUGAAGACAAACUACUGCGAAAGCAUUCGGCAAGGAUGUUUUCAUUGAUAAGGAACGAAAGUUAGGGGAUCGAAGACGAUCAGAUACCGUCGUAGUCUUAACUAUAAACUAUGCCGACUAGGGAUCGGACGAUGUUAUUUUUUGACUCGUUCGGCACCUUUCGAGAAAUCAAAGUGCUUGGGCUCCAGGGGGAGUAUGGUCGCAAGGCUGAAACUUAAAGAAAUUGACGGAAGGGCACCACCAGGGGUGGAACCUGCGGCUUAAUUUGACUCAACACGGGGAAACUCA
This 390-nucleotide ribosomal RNA is filed under the name fungal sp. RNAcentral's name for it is "SSU rRNA". It matches the Rfam family "Eukaryotic small subunit ribosomal RNA", at positions 827 to 1217 of the family's 1831-position model. The record is from RNAcentral. Lineage: Eukaryota; Fungi.